GGGGCUGUAGUAUAACCUGGCUAGAAUAGCUGGCUCCAGACCAGCGGAUCUGGGUUCGAAUCAACUGGUUACGCUCGGUUGACACGCAAUGUGCGGCUUAAAGCCACACGUGCUCACUAAUCGUUCGCAAUCAGUUACGAAAGUCCCAGCAGCCCCA
This 157-nucleotide transfer RNA is filed under the name Candidatus Woesearchaeota archaeon. RNAcentral's name for it is "tRNA-Trp". Lineage: Archaea; Nanobdellati; Candidatus Woesearchaeota. The record is from RNAcentral.